This is a non-coding RNA of Bos taurus (domestic cattle), 72 nucleotides long. The record is from Rfam. NCBI's taxonomy places the organism in Eukaryota, Metazoa, Chordata, Mammalia, Artiodactyla, Bovidae.
UCCCUGGUGGCUCAGAAGGUAAAGCAUCUGCCUGCAAUGCAGGAGACCUGGUUUCGAUCCCUGGGUUGGGAA